AAAGGUUUGGUCCUAGCCCUUCUAUUAGCUUCUAGUAAGAUUAUACAUGCAAGUCUCCGCACUCCGGUGAGAAUGCCCUCUGGAUCACCUAAACGACCCAGAGGAGCGGGUAUCAAGCACGCCACAAAGCAGCUCAAAACACCUUGCCUAGCCACACCCCCACGGGACACAGCAGUGAUAAAAAUUAAGCCAUGAACGAAAGUUUGACUAAGCUAUACUAGUAAUUAGGGUUGGUAAAUUUCGUGCCAGCCACCGCGGUCAUACGAUUAACCCAAGUUAAUAGACAAACGGCGUAAAACGUGUUAAGGGACUCAUCACAUAAUUGAUAAAGUUAAAUCAAAACUGUGCCGUAGAAAGCUUCAGCCCAGAUAAAAAUAAACCACGAAGGUGACUUUAAAUUAACCCGACCACACGAUAGCUAAGACAUAAACUGGGAUUAGAUACCCCACUAUACUUAGCCCUAAACCAAAAUAGCUAAUAUAACAAUGCUAUUCGCCAGAGUACUACUAGCAACAGCUUAAAACUCAAAGGACUUGGCGGUGCUUUAUAUCCCUCUAGAGGAGCCUGUUCUAUAAUCGAUACACCCCGAUAAACCUCACCAACUCUAGCUAAUACAGCCUAUAUACCGCCAUCUUCAGCAAACCCUAAAAAGGAACUACAGUAAGCAAGAACAUCAACCAUAAAAACGUUAGGUCAAGGUGUAGCCUAUGAGUUGGAAAGAAAUGGGCUACAUUUUCUAACAUAGAAUAUAACGAAAAUUUUCGUGAAACCGAAAAUAGAAGGAGGAUUUAGUAGUAAACUAAGAAUAGAGAGCUUAGUUGAAUAAGGCCAUGAAGCACGCACACACCGCCCGUCACCCUCCUCAAGCGCAAAAAUGCAUAUACAUAUAAUCUAUUAACGACGCAUACACACGUAAGAGGAGACAAGUCGUAACAAGGUAAGCGUACUGGAAAGUGCGCUUGGACAAAC
This 969-nucleotide non-coding RNA is filed under the name Melonycteris melanops (black-bellied fruit bat). RNAcentral's name for it is "partial 12S ribosomal RNA". It matches the Rfam family "Bacterial small subunit ribosomal RNA". Lineage: Eukaryota; Metazoa; Chordata; Mammalia; Chiroptera; Pteropodidae. The record is from RNAcentral.